This 206-nucleotide ribosomal RNA is filed under the name uncultured Mesotoga sp. RNAcentral's name for it is "partial 16S ribosomal RNA". It matches the Rfam family "Bacterial small subunit ribosomal RNA", at positions 568 to 773 of the family's 1533-position model. Lineage: Bacteria; Thermotogati; Thermotogota; Thermotogae; Kosmotogales; Kosmotogaceae. The record is from RNAcentral.
AGCGUAGGUGGCCUAACAUGUCAACUGUGAAAACCCGGAGCUCAACUCCGGACUUGCAGUUGAAACUGGUAGGCUUGAGGACGGUAGAGGAAGACGGAACUGCCAGUGUAGGGGUAAAAUCCUUAGAUAUUGGCAGGAACGCCGGUGACGAAGGUGGUUUUCUGGGCCGGUUCUGACACUGAUGCUCGAAAGCCAGGGGAGCGAAC